UACGGAGGGUGCAAGCGUUAUUCGGAAUUACUGGGCGUAAAGCGCGUGCAGGCGGGCUAGCAAGUCUGAUGUGAAAGCCCCGGGCUUAACCUGGGAAGUGCAUUGGAAACUGCUAGUCUUGAGUGCUGGAGAGGAAGGGGGAAUUCCCGGUGUAGAGGUGAAAUUCGUAGAGAUCGGGAGGAAUACCAGUGGCGAAGGCGCCCUUCUGGACGGCAACUGACGCUGAGACGCGAAAGCGUGGGGAGCAAACAGG
RNAcentral lists this ribosomal RNA (253 nucleotides) under uncultured bacterium. RNAcentral describes it as "partial 16S ribosomal RNA". It matches the Rfam family "Bacterial small subunit ribosomal RNA", at positions 524 to 776 of the family's 1533-position model. The record is from RNAcentral.